Molecule: unclassified non-coding RNA, 347 nt
Filed under: uncultured Mortierella
Lineage: Eukaryota; Fungi; Mortierellomycota; Mortierellomycetes; Mortierellales; Mortierellaceae
Description: sequence contains ITS2
Source: RNAcentral
AACGCAUAUUGCGCUCUUUGGUAUUCCGAAGAGCAUGCUUGUUUGAGUAUCAGUAAACACCUCAAAACUCUUUUUUAUUUUUUGAAAAACAGUUUUGGACUUGAGCAAUCCCAACACCAAUCUUUUUUAGAUCAGUGGCGGGUUGCUUGAAAUGCAGGUGCAGCUGGACAUUCUCCUGAGCUAAAAGCAUAUUUAUUUAGUCCCGUCAAACGGAUUAUUACUUUUGCUGCAGCUAAUAUAAAGGGAGUUUGACCGUUUUGGCUGACUGAUGCAGGAUUUCACAAGGGUCGGCAACGAUUCUUGUAAAACUCGAUCUCAAAUCAAGUAAGACUACCCGCUGAACUUAA